GAUGAACGCUGGCGGCGUGCUUAACACAUGCAAGUCGAGCGAAGCACUUAAGUUCGAUUCUUCGGAUGAGGACUUUUGUGACUGAGCGGCGGACGGGUGAGUAACGCGUGGGUAACCUGCCUCAUACAGGGGGAUAACAGUUAGAAAUGGCUGCUAAUACCGCAUAAGACCACAGUACUGCAUGGUACAGUGGUAAAAACUCCGGUGGUAUGAGAUGGACCCGCGUCUGAUUAGGUAGUUGGUGAGGUAACGGCCCACCAAGCCGACGAUCAGUAGCCGACCUGAGAGGGUGACCGGCCACAUUGGGACUGAGACACGGCCCAGACUCCUACGGGAGGCAGCAGUGGGGAAUAUUGCACAAUGGGCGAAAGCCUGAUGCAGCGACGCCGCGUGAAGGAUGAAGUAUUUCGGUAUGUAAACUUCUAUCAGCAGGGAAGAAAAUGACGGUACCUGACUAAGAAGC
Molecule: ribosomal RNA, 463 nt
Filed under: uncultured bacterium
Lineage: Bacteria
Description: bacterial SSU rRNA
Rfam family: Bacterial small subunit ribosomal RNA
Source: RNAcentral